RNAcentral lists this ribosomal RNA (309 nucleotides) under uncultured bacterium. Its description in RNAcentral is "partial 16S ribosomal RNA". It matches the Rfam family "Bacterial small subunit ribosomal RNA", at positions 504 to 807 of the family's 1533-position model. The record is from RNAcentral.
AGAGACAGCAGUAGCCACGGUAAUACAGAGGGUGCGAGCGUUAAUCGGAUUUACUGGGCGUAAAGCGUGCGUAGGCGGCUUUUUAAGUCGGAUGUGAAAUCCCUGAGCUUAACUUAGGAAUUGCAUUCGAUACUGGGAAGCUAGAGUAUGGGAGAGGAUGGUAGAAUUCCAGGUGUAGCGGUGAAAUGCGUAGAGAUCUGGAGGAAUACCGAUGGCGAAGGCAGCCAUCUGGCCUAAUACUGACGCUGAGGUACGAAAGCAUGGGGAGCAAACAGGAUUAGAUACCCGCGUAGUCCCUGUCUCUUAUAC